AUUGAACGCUGGCGGCAUGCUUUACACAUGCAAGUCGAACGAGUGGCGCACGGGUGAGUAAUACAUCGGAACGUGUCCCAUCGUAGGGGAUAACUGAUCGAAAGAUCAGCUAAUACCGCAUACGAUUGGAGCGGCCGAUGCCCGAUUAGCUAGUUGGUGAGGUAAAGGCUCACCAAGGCGACGAUCGGUAGCUGGUCUGAGAGGACGACCAGCCACACUGGGACUGAGACACGGCCCAGACUCCUACGGGAGGCAGCAGUGGGGAAUAUUGGACAAUGGGCGCAACCCUGAUCCAGCCAUGCCGCGUGCAGGAUGAAGUCCUUCGGAGUGUAAACUACUUUUAUCAGGGAGGCGGUACCUGCAGAAUAAGCACCGGCUAACUACGUGCCAGCAGCCGCGGUAAUAC
This 406-nucleotide ribosomal RNA is filed under the name uncultured bacterium. RNAcentral describes it as "partial 16S ribosomal RNA". It matches the Rfam family "Bacterial small subunit ribosomal RNA", at positions 30 to 526 of the family's 1533-position model. The record is from RNAcentral.